CGGCUUUCGGGCUCGGCGCAGUCUGCGGGCGGGAGGGCGCCGGCGAGGUGGCGAGGGCGGCUGGCGCGGGGGCGCGGGAGCCCCGGCUAAGCCCGGGGACGGGAGGGCGCCCCCUCCCAGCGCCCGAACCCAGGCAACUUCCCGCCGCCCGGGCAGGAGUUUCUCCGUAGCCCACGGACAUCCGGGAGGCUUGUGGAGGGCAGGCGGGUAACCCCCACUCCCACCCCACCUUUAUCCAGGGGCAGCCAGAGGAGCCAGCAGGUCGGGACUCGCUGAGGGGGCUCCACGCGGGGCCUCCCACGCACAGACAAAAAGAACAGCGUAUGACUCAGUUAAGGAGGUGGCAGUGUGGACAAAACACACAGAGAGCAAGAGGAUGAGCCUUCCACUAAAGGGACAGCGUCUGCUAUGUUGUCCAGGCUGGUCUCAAAUUCCUUGCCUCAAGCGAUCCAACUGCCUCAGCCUCCCGAGUCACUGGGAUUACAGGCAUGAAGACAUUGUUUUCAAGGGAUCACUCUGCUUUGUGGAGACUAGACUGUGAGGAGCAAGCCUCGAAAGGGGAGAGCUGUUUCGAGGUUCUCCACUGCAGCCUGCUCCACAGCCACGCCCUCCCAUCCAUGGCUACACACUCACAUUCUGGGCCUCUUCCCUGGACCAGAUUGCACAGCAGGGCCGCUCUCUCCAGUGCCUCCAGCUGGCCCCUGCUGACAAGUCCGUGUUGUGUCAUGUUGGGAGUCUGGGCAAGGCACGAGGGCCCCUCUCUAGCAGGUCCCGAUGGCUCCUCCACACCUUCAGGAAAAGCAAGAGAUAAACCAUUGCAUGCUGAGCUCUGCAGGGAACUGGAGGCGGACACCAUCCAUUCUGCAAACCUGCAAUGGUGACACUUCUGGAAUCUCCUUGCCUCUUCCAGGGCUGCAGCCUCUAAGGCAGGGCCCAAAGCAGGAUGGAGAUAAAGAUGCCCAGAAGAAACCAAAGCCUUCUUGGGGGAAACUGUAAGAAGUCAGGAGGGAAUUCUUUAUUAGAAAUUGAAGAUCCCGCUGGGCGUGGUGGCUCAUGCCUGUAAUCCCAGCACUUUGGGAGGCCGAGGUGGACAGAUCACCUGAGGUAGAAGUUCGAGACCAGCCUGGCCAACAUAGCAAAACCCCAUCUCUACUAAAAAUACAAAAAUUAGCCGGGCGUGAUGGCACGCACCUGUAAUCCCAGCUACUCAGGAAGCUAAGGCAGGAGAAUCACUUGAACUUGGGAGGUGGAGGUUGUAGUGAGCCAAGAUGGCGCCAUUGCACUCCAGCCUAGGCAACAAGAGCGAGACUCCAUCUCAAAAAAAAAAAAGAAAAAGAAAAGAAAAGAAAAAAAAAGAAAGAAAGAAGUUGAAGAUCAAAGCUGGAGACCAGGACUCUUGACAAAUCUGACCAGAUUUGAAACACACCUAAGAAAUGUAAGACUCAAUUAAUUCUACAUGAGCCUAAGAAUUAAACCAAAUAAAGAAUGACAACACAAGUAAUGAGGAUACUGGCUUAUGCCUAGGUGUUUGUAUUUCUUUAGGUCUAACUCCAACUGUAUAUCCUAUUUUAAAUUAAUAUUUGUUAUUCUUUGUUUUUUGUUAUUUUAAUAAAAAGCUCUAUUUAAAUGUAUUUAAAUAACAUUAGCCAGAUGUGGUGGCUCAUGCCUGUAAUCCCAGCACUUUGGGAGGCUGAGGCAGGUGGAUUGCUUGAGCUCAGGAGUUUGAGGACAGCCUGGCCAACAUGAUGGAACCACGUCUCUACAAAAAUACAAAAAUUAGCCAGGCAUGGUGGCACACACCUGUAGUCUCAGCUACUUGGGAGGCUGAGGUGGGAAGACUGCUUGAGCCUGGGAGGUUCAGGCUACCAUGAGCCUUGAUCACACCACUGCUCUCAAGCCAAGGCAACAGAGUGAGACCCCAUCUCAAAACAAAACAAAAAGAGAACACUAAUGCCGUUAGAAAAGAAUGCUUUCAUUACUAACACCACUGGGGAGCCAAGCAAUUCAAACCCGCCUGACUCCAUGUGGCAGCUUAUUUCAAGUACAGGCAAGGAGACUCAAAGGAAAUAAACAGUGUGUGGGGGUUCUAGCGAUGCAAACCUAUAAGGUUCUUGUAACUAUCAUAAUGCUUGAUCAAUACUUAUUAACAAACCACAUUCUAGGAGGAACAAGUUUUAAAAGCCUGAAAAUUGGACAGCCAACGUCCU
This 2207-nucleotide long non-coding RNA is filed under the name Homo sapiens (human). Its description in RNAcentral is "HSALNT0128715". Lineage: Eukaryota; Metazoa; Chordata; Mammalia; Primates; Hominidae. The record is from RNAcentral.